Molecule: RNA transcript, 1676 nt
Organism: Schistocerca cancellata (South American locust)
Lineage: Eukaryota; Metazoa; Arthropoda; Insecta; Orthoptera; Acrididae
Gene name: glucose-fructose oxidoreductase domain-containing protein 1
Exons: 2
Source: RefSeq, a predicted model, not a curated record
UGUUUGUUUAUUGACUUGUACACGAGCUGUCAAAGUGUUAAUUGUUUAGUUCGGGAAGUUACAAUUGUGAGUGCAAGAAGAAUCCUGCCAUAAAUAUAGUAAAACAUGAGUCCGUCAAUAUUUCGCGCAACUUGAGAGGAAGGCUGAUGAAGUGUACUUGCCUUGGAAGAUGUUGCCCGGUAUUGGAGUAUUUGGAACGGGUAACGUUGUGCGAGUUAUUGUUCCAUUUUUGAGAGAAAAGGGCUUCAAGAUAGAAGCAAUAUGGGGUCGAACACUCACUGCUGCUGAAGAAGUAUCUAAGGAACUUGAGAUACCGUUUUACACUAACAAAAUCGAUGAUGUGCUGCUGCGAAAGGACGUUGAUCUUAUAUUUAUUAUGUGUUCACCAAACCUUCAUGCACAGAUUGCUGUUAAAGCUCUGGGUAUUGGGAAACAUGUGCUAUGUGACAAACCAACUGGGCUAUGUCAAAGCGAAGCAUUGAAGAUGGUACGAGCAGCACAGUAUUAUCCGUCGCUUAUUUCCAUUGUUAACCACAGCUUAAGAUUUCUUCCUGCAUUUUCCCAGAUGAAGAGAGCUAUUGCUGAUGGGUACCUAGGCAGUGAGAAUGAAAUAACCGUCUGCGACGUACGUGUGCAGAUGGGAAGCCUUCUUCACGAUGGUUAUGAUUGGUUAUGUGAUGAUACAAUGGGUGGAGGUAUAUUAACUCUUGUGGGUAGCCACGUAAUUGACCUUGUGUCACAUCUGACUGGUCAGAGGGCUUCACGUGUCCAUGGCCUUGUUCGAACUUUCACGAAGAACACAGAUUAUGUGCGUGGCAUAAGGCAGAUUUCAAGUCCAGACUUCUGUGCCUUUCAGAUGGAGAUGAGUGGUGGCACACUUGUCACUGCAACGCUUAACAAUCAUCUUCCAGGAACGUUUAGCCAGGAAGUUUUAGUUUGUGGGCGUGAAGGACAUUUAAUGGUGCGUGGUGGAGACUUGUAUGGGUACAAAUCCGGUGCAGCAAAGGAAGAAGUCAUAUAUUUGGACGUGGAAGAUUUGCAGCGUGGAGGCUCUAUUAAUGCUGCUGCAAUAAGUGUGAUUCCACGCCCAUACAUGAAAGGAUUAUUUAAGAUGAUUAGUGCUCUUAGAGAAGCAUUUCUGCCUGUUGAAGACAAGAGUGGAUGGGUGAAGGAACCCGUUGCACUGGCAGCAACAUUUGAAGAUGGUUUGUAUGUGCAAGCGGUCAUAGAUGCGCUACGGAAAUCUAGCGCAAACCGUGAAUGGGUAAAGGUGAAUGUUAUUACAGAGGAACCAGAUCCAAACCCACUAUUGAGUGCUGCUGUGCGGCGUAGUGCCAUAUCCAUGUGACAUACAGAUAACCUGCUGUAAAAUAACUUCAGUACUAAUGUCUGCUUAGCUAACAGGUUACAGUGCCAAACAUUUCUUGAGAAGUACAAAAAAGAACUACAUUUUGCUGAGUUAUUACUGAAUUUGAUUUCACCUUUUUUUCUCACCCUGUGUUGUAUUCUGUGCUUCUAAACAUAGUUGAAGUUGAAAGAAAUUUAUAUGAUUUUUUGCCUGUGAUGAGAAUGACUGGCAUUUGUGUAAGGAUGUUGUCUAUAAUGAUGAACAUUUGGACAGGGUUGUGAAAAAUACCUUUGUUAAUAAACAUAGCGAAAAUAAAUGCAAGAAAAUA